RNAcentral lists this ribosomal RNA (465 nucleotides) under uncultured bacterium. RNAcentral's name for it is "partial 16S ribosomal RNA". It matches the Rfam family "Bacterial small subunit ribosomal RNA", at positions 28 to 507 of the family's 1533-position model. The record is from RNAcentral.
GACGAACGCUGGCGGCGUGCUUAACACAUGCAAGUCGAACGGAAAGGCCCUGCUUACAGGGUACUCGAGUGGCGAACGGGUGAGUAACACGUGGGUGAUCUGCCCUGCACUUCGGGAUAAGCCUGGGAAACUGGGUCUAAUCCCGGAUAGGAGCCAUUUUGAGUGUGAGGGUUGGAAAGUUUUUUCGGUGUAGGAUGAGCUCGCGGGCUAUCAGCUUGUUGGCGGGGUAAUGGCGUACCAAGGCGGCGACGGGUAGCCGGCCUGGGAGGGUGGACGGCCGAAUUGGGACUGAGGUACGGCCCAGGCUCCUACGGGAGGCAGCAGUGGGGAAGCUUGAACAAUGGGCGCAGGCCUGGUGCAGCGACGCCGCGUGUGGGAUGACGGCCUUCGGGUUGUAAACUCCUAUCGCUAGGGACGAAGCUUUUUGUGACGGUACCUAGAGAAGAAGCACCGGCUAACUACGUG